Molecule: long non-coding RNA, 2473 nt
Organism: Marmota monax (woodchuck)
Lineage: Eukaryota; Metazoa; Chordata; Mammalia; Rodentia; Sciuridae
Exons: 2
Source: RefSeq, a predicted model, not a curated record
UCCAUGAGCAGCCGCCCAGGUGUGCGGUGGGGGCGGGCAGGGAGAGCCAAACCUGGGGAAAGGUGGAGAAGAAACGGAGUCUCUUCCUCCAUACGGAAAGUCACCAUGGAUGCCAACCACCAAAACCACUUGGCUGUCCAGAUUCACAGGGGAGGCGACAGGAUCUAGAGGCCCUGAGGCCAUCCCAUGCUUCAUUGUAACCAGGAAACCUACCUACCCGGCAGUGCCGCACCUCAGCAGAAGGGUGCCCCAGAAAGCCACUGUGGGCUCUGGCUUGGCCGAGAAGUAGCAGCAUCCAUGUGGCUUACGAACUCUGGCUGCAGCCAUGUACUAUGUUAGAAAAUCACCCCCAUUUGCCAGCAUGAGACCCAAGCUGCAAAUAAGAGACAUGUCAAUUCAAUGAAUCAGAGGUAUUUUGCUUGUUUUUAAUGACUGAUUGUGAGGGAAUUAUAUUGCCAUGUGUUUGUAUGCCUUUAAAUAAGGAAUUGCAAUUUAUUUAUUUUUUUUAAACGAUGAAAACCCGUCUCCUCUCUUCUCCCUACAAAAGGACAUGGUUUUCCCACUUGGGUGAACAUUGCCUGCGCCGCUUGCUGAAGAAAGGGAGCAGUCUUGGCAAGCAUCUUAUUAGUCUAAAAAUAAAUUAUUCAGAAUGCAGGUUCAGAUACAGAUUGCAAGGAGAGAUAAUAGAAUUGGUUUUCCAAGCCUGAUCAUGCUAUGAAGACACGGUGUGUGCUUUUCAGGAAUCCACUUACGUGGAAUCAGCUCCGAUGAACACACGCUAGAAAUAAUAUUGCUGCCAUCCAGCUAGAGUCGGUGGUACCGCAUCCCCGAUGGCUUCAAGUGCCCACGGUCUCCACACAAGUGUGCAUAUGUAAAAGUAUAUGUUUGCUCAAGCAUUUCUCCAGCGAUGCAGGCUUCUCAUUGUUCUUUUAAGGAAAUAUCUUCCUGGCAGUGCGAGGGGCAUGUCUCACUUGAGAUUUCUCUCCCUCCCACCCUCCUGCCUCCUGAAACAGUUGACCACAUCAGCAGCCGACUCUAGUCCGUCAUGUGGCUUCUCAUGUGAUGCUGGGUCUGCGGCACUUUGGAGCAACAGCAUUUGUGACUCGGUACUCGUGGACAGAGGGGAGUGUUCAGGGACCGGGGAGACUUGGGAGGGGGCGGGGAGGCCAAUAAACCGAGAAACAUCAGAAAUAAAAGUCGCAUGAAGUAUUCAGAUCUCUGUACUCCUUUUUUUGCUUUGUUUUGAGAUUUGAUUUUUUAACUCUGCCUUUUUUUUAAUGGCUUGUAUCUGUUUUUUCCACCCCCACAGGCGCAGAGCUGCGCUGUUUUGUGUUUUUUUUUUUUUUAAUUCUUCUUCUUCUUCUUUUUCUUUUUUUUUUUUUCACAUUCUGAAGCCAGACCGUCUUUCCUCCCAGCUCCAGGGCUGCAUCGCCAUGGCACGCCACGCUUACCCUGGUUACCUGCGCUCUCUGCCGUCACCCUCCUGGGCUUCGCCGUGGUGCACACCGACCGGAAUGGUGUCUCUGUGCCCUGCAGAAGAAGGACCUGGUGGCGUAGCGUUGGCCAGGGUCUCCUCGCAGCUGGAUGAGGGGACUUGGAGGACAGGGUGAAGCUGGUUAGAGAGGAUGCCAAAGGACUGGGCAGGGGAGCUAGGAAUAUUACACGUCCAAUGCCCACCUCGCUGCGCAGGGGAGGGCGCGGCAUCUCCUCCUCCUCACGCCCAGCCCGGGCUGCUCUCGGGGAUUUGGUCAGGGGGCACCGCCCAGGCCGAGAUAUGGUGGCAUUUCCGAGAGUGGAGCUGAAGAUGGAUAAACAAGGCAUCUGAUGUGUCUGCCUGGCGAGGCAGAGCUGGAGAAGGGCAGAGUCAGGGGACGCGUGGAGACGGAGAUGCGGAAUGCCGUGGUCGUCUGCCGCUCGCUCUGCGCUUUGCGCUCUCUGUCUAGGGAGGAUGGCAUAAUUUAUAACCCUGCACAUGGAUGGAGGAACUGUAAACUGUAGCCUGGAUGUCCCCGGUGCUGACAAGGAAGCAACUGAUGGGCUAGGUGACUAUACAGUGUCCCCAGAGAAAACAGCAGCCGUGCAGCAUGAUUGAAAUGCAUGUCCACGCGGGCAGAGACUUGGGGGGAUUGCUGACCAUUUUGCACAGGAAGUCUGUCACCCUGCUGGAUCGGGCUUGAUUGCGGCUUGUGUUUUCGGCUCUAGCUCAACACCCAUUUCCUGACUAGCCAGAAAGCAUGGCCAGAGCAGCUGCUGGCAGAAUUUUCUUUUUAUUAUAAAAGCAAGCCCCCUCGGUUUUAACUCCUUGAAGUUCUGAAUGUUCUGUGCUGGGCUGGGGCUGAUUGUGGGUUUUUGUUUUCUUCUUCUUCUACAGAUCCCUGUAAACACAGCUGUAUUCAGUAUGGUGAAAAAUUCUAUCCCGUAAAUAGAAAUGUGAUCAAUUUAAUCAAAAUAAAUGUAUCCCAGAUGACUUUGA